Molecule: ribosomal RNA, 762 nt
Filed under: uncultured bacterium
Lineage: Bacteria
Description: bacterial SSU rRNA
Rfam family: Bacterial small subunit ribosomal RNA
Source: RNAcentral
CCUUAGAGUUUGAUCCUGGCUCAGAGCGUUUGCUGGCGGCAGGCUUAACACAUGCAAGUCGAGCGGGCGUAGCAAUACGUCAGCGGCAGACGGGUGAGUAACGCGUGGGAACGUACCUUUUGGUUCGGAACAACACAGGGAAACUUGUGCUAAUACCGGAUAAGCCCUUACGGGGAAAGAUUUAUCGCCGAAAGAUCGGCCCGCGUCUGAUUAGCUAGUUGGUGAGGUAAUGGCUCACCAAGGCGACGAUCAGUAGCUGGUCUGAGAGGAUGAUCAGCCACAUUGGGACUGAGACACGGCCCAAACUCCUACGGGAGGCAGCAGUGGGGAAUAUUGGACAAUGGGGGCAACCCUGAUCCAGCCAUGCCGCGUGAGUGAUGAAGGCCCUAGGGUUGUAAAGCUCUUUUGUGCGGGAAGAUAAUGACGGUACCGCAAGAAUAAGCCCCGGCUAACUUCGUGCCAGCAGCCGCGGUAAUACGAAGGGGGCUAGCGUUGCUCGGAAUCACUGGGCGUAAAGGGUGCGUAGGCGGGUUUUUAAGUCAGGGGUGAAAUCCUGGAGCUCAACUCCAGAACUGCCUUUGAUACUGAAGAUCUUGAGUCCGGGAGAGGUGAGUGGAACUGCGAGUGUAGAGGUGAAAUUCGUAGAUAUUCGCAAGAACACCAGUGGCGAAGGCGGCUCACUGGCCCGGUACUGACGCUGAGGCACGAAAGCGUGGGGAGCAAACAGGAUUAGAUACCCUGGUAGUCCACGCCGUAAACGAU